AGAGAUGGAUUGGUGCCUUCGGGAACUGUGAGACAGGUGCUGCAUGGCUGUCGUCAGCUCGUGUUGUGAAAUGUUGGGUUAAGUCCCGCAACGAGCGCAACCCUUAUCCUUUGUUGCCAGCGGUCCGGCCGGGAACUCAAAGGAGACUGCCAGUGAUAAACUGGAGGAAGGUGGGGAUGACGUCAAGUCAUCAUGGCCCUUACGACCAGGGCUACACACGUGCUACAAUGGCGCAUACAAAGAGAAGCGACCUCGCGAGAGCAAGCGGACCUCAUAAAGUGCGUCGUAGUCCGGAUUGGAGUCUGCAACUCGACUCCAUGAAGUCGGAAUCGCUAGUAAUCGUGGAUCAGAAUGCCACGGUGAAUACGUUCCCGGGCCUUGUACACACCGCCCGUCACACCAUGGGAGUGGGUUGCAAAAGAAGUAGGUAGCUUAACCUUCGGGAGGGCGCUUACCACUUUGUGAUUCAUGACUGGGGUGAAGUCGUAACAAGGUAACCGUAGGGGAACCUGCGGUUGGAUCACCUCCUUACCUUAAAGAAGC
This 543-nucleotide ribosomal RNA is filed under the name Escherichia coli. RNAcentral's name for it is "bacterial SSU rRNA". It matches the Rfam family "Bacterial small subunit ribosomal RNA", at positions 1002 to 1533 of the family's 1533-position model. Lineage: Bacteria; Pseudomonadati; Pseudomonadota; Gammaproteobacteria; Enterobacterales; Enterobacteriaceae. The record is from RNAcentral.